Molecule: long non-coding RNA, 241 nt
Organism: Mastomys coucha (southern multimammate mouse)
Lineage: Eukaryota; Metazoa; Chordata; Mammalia; Rodentia; Muridae
Exons: 2
Source: RefSeq, a predicted model, not a curated record
CUGUAAACAGGGCAAUAUCAGAUCCAGAUGUGAAACAGGAGCCAGUGGAGAGAUGUAUAACUAGUUAACAAGCUGAGAGAAAGGACAGGGUACUCAGCCCUGACAGGAUACCUACGUCAAUCCCGUAUCUCUUCCGAAACUCAAGGAGCACACCAGAAGAAGAUAGAAACAAAAUGUAAGAGCUGGAGUUUCAUGGGGGAAGGCCAUGUAUUAAAUCAUAAGGCACUUAUCUGACUUCAGA